This 484-nucleotide ribosomal RNA is filed under the name uncultured bacterium. RNAcentral describes it as "partial 16S ribosomal RNA". It matches the Rfam family "Bacterial small subunit ribosomal RNA", at positions 30 to 507 of the family's 1533-position model. The record is from RNAcentral.
AUUGAAUGCUGGCGGCAGGCCUAACACAUGCAAGUCGAGCGGAUGAAGGGAGCUUGCUCCUGGAUUCAGCGGCGGACGGGUGAGUAAUGCCUAGGAAUCUGCCUGGCAGUGGGGGAUAACGUCCGGAAACGGGCGCUAAUACCGCAUACGUCCUGAGGGAGAAAGUGGGGGAUCUUCGGACCUCACGCUAUCAGAUGAGCCUAGGUCGGAUUAGCUAGUUGGUGGGGUAAAGGCCUACCAAGGCGACGAUCCGUAACUGGUCUGAGAGGAUGAUCAGUCACACUGGAACUGAGACACGGUCCAGACUCCUACGGGAGGCAGCAGUUGGGAAUAUUGGACAAUGGGCGAAAGCCUGAUCCAGCCAUGCCGCGUGUGUGAAGAAGGUCUUCGGAUUGUAAAGCACUUUAAGUUGGGAGGAAGGGCAGUAAGUUAAUACCUUGCUGUUUUGACGUUACCAACAGAAUAAGCACCGGCUAACUUCGUG